GUGUUCGCUUCGGCAGCACAUAUACUAAAAUUGGAACGGUACAGAGAUUAGCAUGGCCCCUGCGCGAAGAUGGCACGCAAAUUUGUGAAGCGUCCCAUCAAAAA
Gorilla gorilla gorilla (western lowland gorilla) is the source of this 104-nucleotide small nuclear RNA. The record is from Ensembl. NCBI's taxonomy places the organism in Eukaryota, Metazoa, Chordata, Mammalia, Primates, Hominidae.